RNAcentral lists this long non-coding RNA (2581 nucleotides) under Canis lupus familiaris (dog). RNAcentral's name for it is "lncRNA (ENSCAFG00845000095.1)". Lineage: Eukaryota; Metazoa; Chordata; Mammalia; Carnivora; Canidae. The record is from RNAcentral.
GUCCCUUUGUUUGCUUCUCUCUCUUGUCUCGUUCAAGGCAGCUUGGGUCACUGACCUCAGCCACUUUCUGAGAACCCCGCACUGGUCGCCUGUGUAGACGUUUUUCUGGAAAAUGCAUGCACUGUACCAUCCAGCAGGGCGUCAGAAGGUGUGAGUUGGGGAAGAAAAACAACACACACACACACAAAGAAGGCAGCUUGGGUCACUGACCUCAGCCACUUUGUGAGAACUCAGCACUGAUCGCCUAUGUAGAGGUUUUCCUGGAAAAUGCAUGGACUGUACCAUCCAGAAGUGCGUCGGAAGGUGUGAAUUGGGGAAGAAAAACAACACACACACAAAAACAAACAAACAAAAGAAUGCAGCCUGGGUCACUGACCUCAGCCACUUUCUGAGAAGUCCACACUGGUCGCCUAUGUAGACGUUUUCCUGGAAAAUGCAUGGACUGUACCAUCCAGCAGGCAUCAGAAGGUGUGAAUUGGGGAAAAAAAAACAAAACACACACAAAAGCAAAAAAAAAAAAAAGGCAGCAGCCUGGGUCACUGACCUCAGCCACUUUCUGAGAAGUCCACACUGGUCUCCUAUGUAGACGUUUUCCUGGAAAAUGCAUGGACUGUACCAUCCAACAGUGCAUCAGAAGGUGUGAAUUGGGGAAGAAAAACAACACACACACAAAAACAAAAAAAAAGAAGGCAGCCUGGGUCACUGACCUCAGCAACUUUCUGAGAACUUGGCACUGGUCUUCUAUGUUGACGUUUCCUGGAAAAAUACGUGGACUGUACCAUCCAGCAGCGCGUCAGAAGGUGUGAAUUGGGGAAGAAAAACAAACACAAACGCAAGCAACAACACCAACAACAACAAAAAAAAACAAAAAGCCCUGACUGGAUUCCCUCCACACUAGAUAGAAAAGCAUAUGCGUGUCUCAUAAGUGCCUGAGCUAGUAAAAGUCUUCUUCUGAAUUAGCUGACGUUGCACAAGUAAAGAAGAGCGUAGAGGUGAGGGUAAGAAAGGAAAGCCACGGAAGGCUUGCAUUAGGCUGCAGAUGUUUUAAUGAAGUGCCAGAAAAGAGUACUCUAUUGAAACCAACAGGUUUUUAUUGGCCAAAAGGAUUGGUGAAAAUAAUUUUCAAGUUGAAAAAAAACUAGUUUUACCCUUAGUUGGCUUUUUUUGUACAGACUUGCCUGCCAAGUGGCGACAUUUUGCAAUGCGUUGGUAUAAGCAAUUAUUCCAUCAUUGCUCGGAUUAAGCACCAUUGCUGCCCUGCCUGCAAGCGUCCCCACCUCCCACCCCCCCCCCCCCCCCGGGGGGCCCUAUUUUUUAUGGCUCAAAAUAUGGUGCCUCUUUAUGUAAAUCAUACAUGUAGAGAGUGCACCUGAGAGCGUUGCCUACCGUGUGCCCACCUGAAGCUAUUUGAUUCAGGCCAACUUGAAAAUUCUCCAGUUUGUAAAAGUUUAAUUUAUUGUUUCAUUUGGACUAUUUUUACAUAUUUAUCCUCUUCAUUUUGUCCUGAUAAUGUGUAAUAUCUAUUCUUGUCACCCUUUGGGAAAGGUUGCAUUUCUGGAGGUGAUGAGACAGGGAGAGAGCAUUGGGAAGAGAAAAGCCACGAUUUUUAAAAAAUGCUCUUUGUCAAGCUCAUGAUUGCAUUUGAUCCCAAAUCAAGGUGAAUGUAUACAAUGGGAUGUACAUAAAUUAUUUUUGUUCAUGCCUAGACUAGUGCUACAUAGUGGUGUUUUUCUUUUUUAUUUUGUUUAAUGACAAAAUAAUCUCUUAAUACAUUGAAAUUGAGCACGUGAGAUUUUAUGUUUGAAAGAUAAAGACACAGCAUGUAUAAUUAUGCACUUCAUUUCUCUGCUGUGUGGAGAAAGCAAUAAACAUUAUGAGAAUGUUAAACAUUAUGCAAAAUUAUACUUUUUUAAAUAUUUGUUUUAAAAUUACUGUACCUAGUUUUUUUUUUGCAUUACUUUGUAACCUUUUUUCUAUGCAAAAGUCUACAUAUCACUAAUUAAAUGAAGUCCUUUUUGACUAUUUUUAUGUGGAUGAGUUGCUUUGCAGAAUAGAAGGUUGACAUGAAUUUCAAGCAAGGCCUUCCUUCACUAACAACUUAAGCCGUGGCUUUUCUUUUUCUCUUUCAGAGUCAUUUAAUAUAAUUCACAGCUUGCCUGAAAAUAACAUUUAUCUGAGCUUGUAAAUCAAUUAAGCAUAGGCGGGUAUGACGUUAUUUGGAGACAGGAAGUGAUCAGUUUCCUCUGCCUUUUAUUCUCAACCAUGUUCUUGGAAGAAAAGUGCAAAUACAAGAACUCCAAAUAAUAGUAAACUGAACCUAGGAUAAUAAGCUAGAAUGUGUCAUACAUUUUAUAACUCAAAAAUGUUUGUAGAGGGUUUUUAAAACAUCACAUGCAUACAUGAUUAAGCAUACACAUGCUUCCUGAUGGUAAAUCCUCUGUACCUACCUCAAUGAAACUUUUUUUUUUGAUGCUGUAGAAAUUAUGCACAUAUCUCUCCUUCUUCGAUGAAGCCUAGAAGAGAUUAUUUCAGUUCCUGAAGCUAUUGGGCCAAACAUGAAAAAAGAAUAAUAAAAAAAAAA